GGCCUGAGAGGGUGAUCGGACACACUGGAACUGAGACACGGUCCAGACUCCUACGGGAGGCAGCAGUAGGGAAUAUUGCUCAAUGGGGGAAACCCUGAAGCAGCAACGCCGCGUGGAGGAUGAAGGUUUUAGGAUUGUAAACUCCUUUUGUUAGAGAAGAUUAUGACGGUAUCUAACGAAUAAGCACCGGCUAACUCCGUGCCAGCAGCCGCGGUAAUACGGAGGGUGCAAGCGUUACUCGGAAUCACUGGGCGUAAAGAGUGCGUAGGCGGGGUARUAAGUCAGAUGUGAAAUCCUGUAGCUUAACUACAGAACUGCAUUUGAAACUGUUACUCUGGAGUGUGGGAGAGGUAGGUGGAAUUCU
Molecule: ribosomal RNA, 364 nt
Filed under: uncultured Helicobacter sp.
Lineage: Bacteria; Pseudomonadati; Campylobacterota; Epsilonproteobacteria; Campylobacterales; Helicobacteraceae
Description: bacterial SSU rRNA
Rfam family: Bacterial small subunit ribosomal RNA
Source: RNAcentral